Molecule: ribosomal RNA, 330 nt
Filed under: uncultured Bacillota bacterium
Lineage: Bacteria; Bacillati; Bacillota
Description: bacterial SSU rRNA
Rfam family: Bacterial small subunit ribosomal RNA
Source: RNAcentral
GACGAACGCUGGCGGCGUGCCUAAUACAUGCAAGUCGAGCGGAGUUAGACCUUCGGGUUUAAUUUAGCGGCGGACGGGUGAGUAACACGUAGGUAACCUGCCUAACAGACUGGGAUAACUACCGGAAACGGUAGCUAAGACCGGAUACGACCAUUUGAGGGCAUCCUUAGAUGGUGAAAAGCGGAGUAAUCUGCUACUGAUAGAUGGACCUGCGGCGCAUUAGCUAGUUGGUGAGGUAGUGGCUCACCAAGGCGACGAUGCGUAGCCGACCUGAGAGGGUGAACGGCCACACUGGGACUGAGACACGGCCCAGACUCCUACGGGUGGCUG